UGUUGUUGGUCUCUGGGGUGUAGCAGGGUGUAAUGUUGUUGUUGGUCUCUGGGGUGUAGCAGGGUGUAAUGUUGUUGUGGUCUCUGGGGUGUAGCAGGGUGUAAUGUUGUUGUGGUCUCUGGGGUGUAGCAGGGUGUAAUGUUGUUGUGGUCUCUGGGGUGUAGCAGGGUGUAAUGUUGUUGUGGUCUCUGGGGUGUAGCAGGGUGUAAUGUUGUUGGUCUCUGGGGUGUAGCAGGGUGUAAUGUUGUUGUUGGUCUCUGGGGUGUAGCAUGGUGUAAUGUUGUUGUGGUCUCUGGGGUGUAGCAGGGUGUAAUGUUGUUGUGGUCUCUGGGGUGUAGCAGGGUGUAAUGUUGUUGUGGUCUCUGGGGUGUAGCAGGGUGUAGCAGGGUGUAAUGUUGUCGGUCUCUGGGGUGUAGCAGGGUGUAAUGUUGUUGUGGUCUCUGGGGUGUAGCAGGGUGUAAUGUUGUUGUGGUCUCUGGGGUGUAGCAGGGUGUAAUGUUGUUUUGGUCUCUGGGGUGUAGCAGGGUGUAAUGUUGCUGGUCUCUGGGGUGUAGCAGGGUGUAAUGUUUUUGUGGUCUCUGGGGUGUAGCAGGGUGUAAUGUUGUUGGUCUCUGGGGUGUAGCAGGGUGUAAUGUUGUUGUUGUCUCUGGGGUGUAGCAGGGUGUAAUGUUGUUGGUCUCUGGGGUGUAGCAGGGUGUAAUGUUGUUGUGGUCUCUGGGGUGUAGCAGGGUGUAAUGUUGUUGUUGGUCUCUGGGGUGUAGCAGGGUGUAAUGUUGUUGGUCUCUGGGGUGUAGCAGGGUGUAAUGUUGUUGUUGGUCUCUGGGGUGUAGCAGGGUGUAAUGUUGUUGUGGUCUCUGGGGUGUAGCAGGGUGUAAUGUUGUUGAGGUCUCUGGGGUGUAGCAGGGUGUAAUGUUGUUGUGGUCUCUGGGGUGUAGCAGGGUGUAAUGUUGUUGUGGUCUCUGGGGUGUAGCAGAGUGUAAUGUUGUUGUGGUCUCUGGGGUGUAGCAGGGUGUAAUGUUGUUGUUGUCUCUGGGGUGUAGCAGGGUGUAAUGUUGUUGUGGUCUCUGGGGUGUAGCAGGGUGUAAUGUUGUUGGUCUCUGGGGUGUAGCAAGGUGUAAUGUUGUUGUUGUCUCUGGGGUGUAGCAGGGUGUAAUGUUGUUGGUCUCUGGGGUGUAGCAGGGUGUAAUGUUGUUGUGGUCUCUGGGUUGUAGCAGGGUGUAAUGUUGUUGUUGGUAUCUGGGGUGUAGCAGGGUGUAAUGUUGUUGGUCUCUGGGGUGUAGCAGGGUGUAAUGUUGUUGUUGGUCUCUGGGGUGUAGCAGGGUGUAAUGUUGUUGUGGUCUCUGGGGUGUAGCAGGGUGUAAUGUUGUUGUGGUCUCUGGGGUGUAGCAGGGUGUAAUGUUGUUGUGGUCUCUGGGGUGUAGCAGGGUGUAGCAGGGUGUAAUGUUGUUGGUCUCUGGGGUGUAGCAGGGUGUAAUGUUGUUGGUCUCUGGGGUGUAGCAGGGUGUCAUGUUGUUGUGGUCUCUGGGGUGUGGCAGGGUGUAAUGUUGUUGGUCUCUGGGGUG
RNAcentral lists this long non-coding RNA (1562 nucleotides) under Salmo salar (Atlantic salmon). RNAcentral's name for it is "lncRNA (ENSSSAG00000100628.1, ENSSSAG00000108805.1)". The record is from RNAcentral. Lineage: Eukaryota; Metazoa; Chordata; Actinopteri; Salmoniformes; Salmonidae.